Molecule: long non-coding RNA, 151 nt
Organism: Oncorhynchus keta (chum salmon)
Lineage: Eukaryota; Metazoa; Chordata; Actinopteri; Salmoniformes; Salmonidae
Exons: 3
Source: RefSeq, a predicted model, not a curated record
GGGCUGAAGGUCUGAGCAAUGCUCUCCCUCCCACAAUGUUUUCCUGCAAGGCACCAGGGGCUGAAGGUCUGAGCAAUGCUCUCCGUCCCACAAUGUUUUCCUACACGGCACCAGGGGCUGAAGGUCUGAGCAAUGCUCUCCCUCCCACAAU